GACGAACGCUGGCGGCGUGCCUAAUACAUGCAAGUCGAACGAACCGCGACUAGGUGCUUGCACUUGGUCAAGGUGAGUGGCGAACGGGUGAGUAACACGUGGGUAACCUACCUCAUAGUGGGGGAUAACAGUCGGAAACGACUGCUAAUACCGCAUAGGACAUAGGAUCACAUGAUCCAGUGAGGAAAGGUGGCGCAAGCUAUCGCUAAGAGAUGGACCCGCGGUGCAUUAGCUAGUUGGUAGGGUAAAGGCCUACCAAGGCGAUGAUGCAUAGCCGACCUGAGAGGGUGAUCGGCCACAUUGGGACUGAGACACGGCCCAAACUCCUACGGGAGGCAGCAGUAGGGAAUCUUCCGCAAUGGACGCAAGUCUGACGGGGCAACGCCGCGUGAGUGAAGAAGGUCUUCGGAUCGUAAAGCUCUGUUGUUAGAGAAGAACAGCGCAUAGAGUAACUGUUAUGCGUGUGACGGUAUCUAACCAGAAAGCCACGGCUAACUACGUG
Molecule: ribosomal RNA, 502 nt
Filed under: uncultured bacterium
Lineage: Bacteria
Description: partial 16S ribosomal RNA
Rfam family: Bacterial small subunit ribosomal RNA
Source: RNAcentral